This 476-nucleotide unclassified non-coding RNA is filed under the name Zea mays. Its description in RNAcentral is "misc RNA Zm00001eb026250". Lineage: Eukaryota; Viridiplantae; Streptophyta; Magnoliopsida; Poales; Poaceae. The record is from RNAcentral.
CCCUUCACUCUUAAAAAGCUGUAGGUUAGCUAGAUAUCGUGGUGAACUUCGGGCUACAUCUUCAAAGGCUGCUACUGAUGAAGUGGUGCUUGCAAAAACAACUCAACAAACUGCAGACCAAGAAGUGGGUGCUACAAUUUCAGCAACCCGUAUAACAACACAAUAUCAGCAGGAACAGCUGACUGUCAGCCAUGAAACGCUGACUACACUUUCAGCAGGAACUCCACCACGCAUGAAAGGAUGGCUAGUUAAAAAAUCACCCCCAAGAAGAAGAAAGUGUGAAGUAUUUGUGUUUUGUGUGUGAACUGAAAUCUGGGAACUAUGUAUCUGUGGUUUGUGUCUGUGUACUGAAAUCUGGGAACUGAAACUAUGUAUGUGUGGUUUCUGUGUGUGAACUGGAACUGAGUCACAGAACUAUGUAUCUGUGAUAUGUGUGAACUGCAAUCUGAAAUUGUCAGUUUAUUGCUGAACUCCCU